GUUUUCGGCAAGUAAACAAACAUUGUGCAUUGCAUCUUGCAAACAACUGUUACCAGUGGAUUCCCCAAGAGACUGACGUUGUUGGAUGUUUCGAGACGCGAGAGGAAGUAACCCUGCUGCCCCCUGCCUUCCCAUGCUGCAGUGUUAGCAAUGCUGGAGCUGACCACUGCUGGAAAGAUCGCCUUAUUCCUUGCUGUCCCCACCACCUUUGUCCUUCUGUACUGGCUGCUGAAUCACAGGGAAGACGACGAUGAUGAUCCACUCUCUGCAUCCAAAGUUACCACAUCACGUCAAACGGUUAUCGAGGUUAAAGUCCCACGCAAGAUUGUCGGCUCAGUGAUUGGACGACAGGGAGCUAAUAU
This is a long non-coding RNA of Haliotis rubra (blacklip abalone), 362 nucleotides long. RefSeq lists it as uncharacterized. The record is from RefSeq and is a predicted model, not a curated record. The transcript has 3 exons. NCBI's taxonomy places the organism in Eukaryota, Metazoa, Mollusca, Gastropoda, Lepetellida, Haliotidae.